CGUGUAGGCGGGAAGGAAAGUCAGACGUGAAAUCCCCAGGCUCAACCUGGGAACUGCGUUUGAAACUCCCUUUCUUGAGUACCGGAGAGGAAAGCGGAAUUCCUGGUGUAGAGGUGAAAUUCGUAGAUAUCAGGAGGAACACCAGCGGCGAAGGCGGCUUUCUGGACGGUAACUGACGCUGAGACGCGAAAGCGUGGGGAGCAAACA
This 207-nucleotide ribosomal RNA is filed under the name uncultured bacterium. RNAcentral describes it as "partial 16S ribosomal RNA". It matches the Rfam family "Bacterial small subunit ribosomal RNA", at positions 568 to 774 of the family's 1533-position model. The record is from RNAcentral.